Molecule: long non-coding RNA, 5080 nt
Filed under: Brassica napus (rape)
Lineage: Eukaryota; Viridiplantae; Streptophyta; Magnoliopsida; Brassicales; Brassicaceae
Description: long non-coding RNA (BNAP_LNC014285)
Source: RNAcentral
AGUUGCUUGGCCUCUCCCCCUCAUUGUUCACGUUGGCAUCAUCCUCUCAACCUUAGGGGCUGCUCUCCAGAGUCUGACAGGAGCCCCAAGGUUGCUUGCGGCUAUAGCAAAUGAUGAUAUUCUCCCCAUCCUGAAUUAUUUUAAAGUUGCGGAUACUAGCGAACCUCACAUAGCGACGCUUUUCACAGCAUUGAUCUGCAUCGGAUGUGUUGUUAUCGGAAAUCUAGAUCUUAUUACACCGACUGUGACUAUGUUUUAUCUUUUAUGCUACGCGGGAGUAAACUUGUCUUGUUUCCUGCUCGAUCUACUUGAUGCUCCAAGUUGGCGUCCACGGUGGAAAUACCAUCACUGGAGCCUUUCCUUUGUUGGAGCCUCACUUUGCAUAGGUAUGAAUAUUCAAAUACUUGUUGUUGAAGAUUGUCUUUUGUACAGUCUUCUUUUGUAGUCCAUUCCUAUAAAACAAAUUGUCUUGUCUUACCUGAAGAUUGAGAUGUCUUAUUAUUAUGAAGACUCUUUUUGAUGUUCCCUUUUUUUCUGUACGGUUGCAGUGAUCAUGUUCUUGAUUUCUUGGUCAUUCACUGUCGUUGCCAUUGCGCUUGCAAGUCUUAUAUACAAAUACGUUGGGCUAAAAGGAAAGGCCGGAGACUGGGGUGAUGGUUUCAAGAGUGCAUAUUUUCAGUUGGCCCUUCGUAGUCUCAGGUCACUCGGAGGUAAGGUUACAUAAUUACAUUCUCUAUGUGUUGUUACACCGAACCUGCCUUAUCUAAUAUGAGAUGGUCCAUUUAUCUAAGCUUUUCUCAUGCUUUGUCUUCUCUCCUAAUUGCAGCGAAUCAAGUGCACCCCAAGAACUGGUAUCCAAUCCCUCUUGUUUUCUGCAGACCAUGGGGACAGCUCCCAGAGAAUGUUCCGUGCCACCCUAAACUGGCUGAUUUCGCCAACUGUAUGAAGAAAAAAGGUCGUGGAAUGUCCAUCUUUGUCGACAUACUAGAUGGUGACUACUAUGAAUGUGCUGAAGAAGCAAAGGAAGCCUGCAACAAACUAGCCACCUACAUUGAGUAUAAGCGUUGUGAAGGUGUAGCUGAAAUAGUUGUAGCCCCAAACAUGACCGAAGGGUUCCGUGGGAUCAUCCAGACGAUGGGACUCGGGAAUCUCAAACCCAACAUCGUGGUAAUGCGUUACCCUGAGAUCUGGCGGCGAGAAAAUCUAACAGAGAUUCCAUCCACAUUCGUUGGGAUAAUCAACGACUGCAUAACAGCAAACAAAGCAGUUGUCAUCAUCAAAGGGUUAGACGAAUGGCCAAACGAGUACCAAAGACAGUACGGAACAAUCGACUUGUACUGGAUUGUGAGAGACGGUGGUCUCAUGCUUCUCCUCUCGCAGCUUCUUCUGACAAAAGAAAGCUUCGAAAGCUGCAAGAUCCAACUCUUCUGCAUAGCUGAAGAGGAUUCAGACGCGGAAGCAUUAAAAGCCGACGUGAAGAAGUUCCUCUACGACCUGAGAAUGCAAGCAGAAGUAAUCGUGGUGACGAUGAAAUCAUGGGACAUAAGAUCAGAAGGAAACAGCAAAGAAGAUUCGUUGGAAGCGUUUGAUGCUGCACAGAGACGAAUCUCAGAUUACUUGGGAGAGAUAAAGAGUCAAGGUUCGACUCCUCGGUUGGCGAAUGGGAAAGCGAUGGUGGUGAAUGAGCAACAAGUGGAUAAGUUUCUGUAUACAAUGCUGAAACUGAACUCGACCAUACUCAGUUACUCGAGAAUGGCAGCGGUGGUUCUGGUUAGUCUCCCGCCGCCUCCGUUGAACCACCCGGCGUAUUUCUACAUGGAGUAUAUGGAUUUGCUGGUGGAGAAUGUUCCAAGGAUGUUGAUCGUGAGAGGGUAUCACAGAGAUGUUGUAACUUUGUUUACUUAGUUUCAUAUCUUUUUUUGAUAAUAUCCACCAACAAAAUCAAAGACCCUGUCCUUCUUCAAGGCCAGCUUCUUCUUUUCCUCUUCCAACCUCUCCUCUUUAUAUAUUUUUUACAGUUUAUAUAUAAUUUUAACCUUGUAGUACAGAUAAUUCCAUUUUGUUGAAAAUGAUUGAAUUGGAUAUUCCUGUGAGCUUUAGUUUUUUCUUUCUCAAAUUUUGUUAUAGUUAGCUUCAUUUUAUUCUUUUGGUUAUGCACUUACACCCAUAGUUUCAUAUAUCAUAUAUGUAUAUGGUAAAACACAUCUCACUAGUUUUAUCAUUUUUCUCAUUCAAAAAGAAAUCUUCAACAUUACAGAAUCUAAGUUCAUACAUUGAUCAUUAUCCAGAAGUGAAACGAAUUUGCAAAUUAUUCCUCUUUCCCACCAUCAGUCGAAACUCGAAAGAAACUGGUUUGUUAGGCUAAGAUGAGCGCAACUAUAACUUGCUGUUACUUUGUUAAAAGACUAUGGGGGUAUUGUUUACUUUUCAAUCACUAGAGGCGUGAGAGUUAUUGUCUGUUGUCUGAAAAUACAUUUUUUUUAAUAAAAAUAUUGAAAACCGUAACUUCUGCAAGUCUCUCUCAUUCUUUGGAAAAUACUUUUCACCGACGUUUCUUUCCUUCUCCAUUCCUCGAUCGUCUUGGAGCUUCGUCUCAUCUUCACUUCCACUCUCUUCGUUUCUCAAACUGUUUCCACCCUCAGACUGCUCCAUCUCAUGAGAUGUAUGUUCAUCCACGGCCACUCCUCUGUCAUCACUUCUCUCAGGUGUUCUCCGGUUAGAAGAGGCAGGACGUACUGAUGUUGUUGUUGUCGCUGGUGGAUGAUACAUUGGCCUGCCUUGAUGUUGCACAACAAUCUGCUAAGUCACCAUGGCGUGUCUUAAUCUGUUUAAUUUUCAGGAUUGUUGGCAUGGCUGGUAUCGGACAAAGCCUGGUAUUGGUAUUGCUGUGUGGAUUAUGUACAUUUUUGACGACAAUAUCUUUGAGUGCUAUUGCGACAAAUGGCGCAAUGAAGGUAAUUAUUUUUCUGUAAUAUCACCCGGAAUUUUCUUUUACAAUAGUUAAAAUGUAUCCAUCCAUUCGUUGGGUUUCUGGUCCAUACUUAGCACCCCUAUUACUUCUCUCUUUCUUUUGUGAUAGAACAAUAUGUAGGACAUCAAGUUUAUUCCGUAAAUAACUCGCAUUACUUUACUUCCAGGGUGGAGGACCAUAUUACCUCAUUGGUCGUGCUCUUGGUCCGGAGGUUGGGAUUAGCAUAGGUUUAUGCUUCUUCCUUGGCAAUGCAGUUGCUGGAGCUCUGUAAGUGUAUAUUCUGGAUCCUUUGAAAUAGAUUCUCUUGGAGAAAGUCUUAAGCUCAACACUCUAAGUUGCUGGUGCUCUGUUCAGUUUCACAUGGUCUCCGAGUGCUUCUAAUGACUAAUUUAUCUGCUUUCUUCCUUAUCAAUGUAGGUACGUUUUGGGUGCUGUGGAGACUUUUUUAAAAGCGUUCCCUGCUGCUGGGAUUUUUAGAGGUAUUACUGUGGAACUUGUAAGAAUUGAAACCUGUGAAGUGUGAACCAAAGAAAAGGGGUACUAGGAUGUCCAACAACUCUUAGUAAUUCAUCAGUUUUUCGAUCACUACUUUAUUCAUGUUAGUCUUGACGUCAAAGACUUGUUUCAUCAAUUGUUGGAAAUGGCAACGCCUAUAUGCAAUCGAGGAUUUGCAAGAACUAUAUUAUUGACUGCCAAAAUCUGACAAAACCUUUACUUGUUUUCCUUGAGGACAAAAUCUUUAGCCUAUUAGUCACAUUUAGCCACUUAUAUGUGUUUCAUUUCUAAUGGCAGAAACUAUCACAAAGGUUAAUGGAACUGCAGUUGCCGAAUCAGUACAAAGCCCAAGCUCACACGACUUGCAGAUUUAUGGAAUUGUUGUGACUAUACUUCUAUGCUUCAUUGUGUUUGGCGGCGUGAAGAUGAUCAAUCGGGUUGCACCUGCUUUCCUACUACCCGUGUUGCUCUCUAUCUUGUGCAUAUUCAUUGGGAUGUUUUUGGCAAAAACAGAUGAUCCUGACAGUAAGCCAUUUCAGGAUAUUGUUGGAUAUAGGCAUGGAGAUAUAUUUCCCCAAACUGUUAACCUUUCCAUUGUUAUGAUCUGAACAGCUGGAAUCACGGGCUUGCGAUUAAAAAGUUUUAGAGAUAACUGGAGUUCUGCUUAUCAGAUGACAAAUAAUGCGGGAAUUCCUGAUCCACUUGGAGGCACAUACUGGAGUUUCAAGUGAGUCACAUCUAGAAUUUUUGUUGCCUAUGAUAGUAAAACUCUAGUUUUUGUGUAAGUUUAUUUGUUACUCUGAAAUUUAUAUACCGUUCUCUUUGUUACUUUUCAGUGAGUUGGUGGGUCUAUUUUUCCCUGCUGUAACAGGAAUUAUGGCUGGUUCAAAUAGAUCAGCUUCACUGAAAGACACACAAAGAUCAAUUCCUGUUGGAACAUUGGCUGCCACUCUGUCAACCACCUUACUGUAUGUGAUAUCAGUGCUGUUUUUUGGAGCUGUUGCUACCCGUGACAAACUUUUGACUGAUAGGUAACGGUGUUACUCGUGUGACUUCUUUGUUUUUUUUUUUGUUUCAAAGCCGAUCUGGUGUAUUUAGCAUGGAUAAACUUGAAAGAUAGUAAAAGUUGCUUUGUGCUCUGAAUGUACUAAACAAAACUACUAGGGGCCUACGAAAGGUGUACUUUCUUAGUCUAUAUGUCAAGAAUAAAUUAAGCAUUUCUGAUAGUGGUCGCAGAGACCUGUUCUUUUAGCGCUUCAACACCUUGAUUUUUUUUUAAAAUUUUCAUACGAGAGUAAUUUUCCUCUAUUGCAGGCUUCUUACUGCCACAGUUGCUUGGCCUCUCCCCCUCAUUGUUCACGUUGGCAUCAUCCUCUCAACCUUAGGGGCUGCUCUCCAGAGUCUGACAGGAGCCCCAAGGUUGCUUGCGGCUAUAGCAAAUGAUGAUAUUCUCCCCAUCCUGAAUUAUUUUAAAGUUGCGGAUACUAGCGAACCUCACAUAGCGACGCUUUUCACAGCAUUGAUCUGCAUCGGAUGUGUUGUUAUCGGAAAUCUAGAUCUUAUUACACCGACUGUGACUAUGUUUUAUCUUUUAUGCUACGCGGGAGUAAACUU